GCGAUCAUACCAGCACUAAUGCACCGGAUCCCAUCAGAACUCCGAAGUUAAGCGUGCUUGGACGAGAGUAGUACUAGGAUGGGUGACCCCCUGGGAAGUCCUCGUGUUGCACCA
Molecule: ribosomal RNA, 114 nt
Filed under: Salvia splendens (bonfire salvia)
Lineage: Eukaryota; Viridiplantae; Streptophyta; Magnoliopsida; Lamiales; Lamiaceae
Source: RNAcentral